RNAcentral lists this microRNA (22 nucleotides) under Aedes aegypti (yellow fever mosquito). RNAcentral describes it as "aae-miR-315-3p". Its record names the gene aae-miR-315-3p. Lineage: Eukaryota; Metazoa; Arthropoda; Insecta; Diptera; Culicidae. The record is from miRBase by way of RNAcentral.
CUUUCGAGCAGUAAUCAAAGUC